This 253-nucleotide ribosomal RNA is filed under the name uncultured bacterium. RNAcentral's name for it is "partial 16S ribosomal RNA". It matches the Rfam family "Bacterial small subunit ribosomal RNA", at positions 524 to 776 of the family's 1533-position model. The record is from RNAcentral.
UACAGAGGUCUCAAGCGUUGUUCGGAUUCAUUGGGCGUAAAGCGCGUGUAGGCGGCCAGGUAGGUCGGUUGUGAAAAUUGGAGGCUCAACCUCCAGACGUCGAUCGAAACCAUCUGGCUAGAGUCCGGAAGAGGAGGAUGGAAUUCCUGGUGUAGCGGUGAAAUGCGCAGAUAUCAGGAAGAACACCGAUGGCGAAGGCAGUUCUCUGGGACGGUACUGACGCUGAGACGCGAAAGCGUGGGGAGCGAACAGG